GCAAGUCUAUCUCUUCUUCGGAAGGGAGGCAAAAGGGUGAGUAACACAUUGGUAACCUACCCCCAUCUCAGGCACAACUUCGGGAAACCGGAGCUAAUUCCUGAUAGUCUCUAUUUACUUCGGUACUUUAGAGUAAAGAUUUAUCGGAUGGGGAGGGGCCUAUGGUCUAUCAGCUUGUUGGUGAGGUAAAAGCUCACCAAGGCUAUGACGGAUACCGGGUGUGAGAGCAUGACC
Molecule: ribosomal RNA, 234 nt
Filed under: uncultured bacterium
Lineage: Bacteria
Description: partial 16S ribosomal RNA
Rfam family: Bacterial small subunit ribosomal RNA
Source: RNAcentral